This 628-nucleotide ribosomal RNA is filed under the name uncultured bacterium. RNAcentral's name for it is "bacterial SSU rRNA". It matches the Rfam family "Bacterial small subunit ribosomal RNA", at positions 255 to 883 of the family's 1533-position model. The record is from RNAcentral.
GGGUAACGGCCCACCUAGUCAACGAUGGAUAGGGGUUCUGAGAGGAAGGUCCCCCACAUUGGAACUGAGACACGGUCCAAACUCCUACGGGAGGCAGCAGUGAGGAAUAUUGGUCAAUGGGCGAUGGCCUGAACCAGCCAAGUAGCGUGAAGGAUGACUGCCCUAUGGGUUGUAAACUUCUUUUAUAAAGGAAUAAAGUCGGGUAUGCAUACCCGUUUGCAUGUACUUUAUGAAUAAGGAUCGGCUAACUCCGUGCCAGCAGCCGCGGUAAUACGGAGGAUCCGAGCGUUAUCCGGAUUUAUUGGGUUUAAAGGGAGCGUAGAUGGAUGUUUAAGUCAGUUGUGAAAGUUUGCGGCUCAACCGUAAAAUUGCAGUUGAUACUGGAUGUCUUGAGUGCAGUUGAGGCAGGCGGAAUUCGUGGUGUAGCGGUGAAAUGCUUAGAUAUCACGAAGAACUCCGAUUGCGAAGGCAGCCUGCUAAGCUGCAACUGACAUUGAGGCUCGAAAGUGUGGGUAUCAAACAGGAUUAGAUACCCUGGUAGUCCACACGGUAAACGAUGAAUACUCGCUGUUUGCGAUAUACGGCAAGCGGCCAAGCGAAAGCGUUAAGUAUUCCACCUGGGGAGUAC